RNAcentral lists this ribosomal RNA (237 nucleotides) under uncultured bacterium. Its description in RNAcentral is "partial 16S ribosomal RNA". It matches the Rfam family "Bacterial small subunit ribosomal RNA", at positions 540 to 776 of the family's 1533-position model. The record is from RNAcentral.
GUUGCUCGGAAUUACUGGGCGUAAAGGGCGCGUAGGCGGAUAGUUUAGUCAGAGGUAAAAGCCCAGGGCUCAACCUUGGAACUGCCUUUGAUACUGGCUAUCUUGAGUUCGGGAGAGGUGAGUGGAAUGCCGAGUGUAGAGGUGAAAUUCGUAGAUAUUCGGCGGAACACCAGUGGCGAAGGCGACUCACUGGCCCGAUACUGACGCUGAGGCGCGAAAGCGUGGGGAGCAAACAGG